This is a long non-coding RNA of Trichomycterus rosablanca, 240 nucleotides long. RefSeq lists it as uncharacterized. Lineage: Eukaryota; Metazoa; Chordata; Actinopteri; Siluriformes; Trichomycteridae. The transcript has 3 exons. The record is from RefSeq and is a predicted model, not a curated record.
AGGGACCAUGCACAAAAUGCAUUAACCUCAGAGGAGAAGAGAUGCCUUGCACCACAGGUAGUCUGCUGUCACAGGGCAGCUUUAAUGGCAUCCACUCUUCUGGAAGGAUUUUCUACAAGACUACAAGAGUGUGCCUGAGGGAAUUUGUUCCCAUUCACUUAACGAAGUCAGGGCAGAGUGAGGGCAGUUCUCAGUUUGAUGUAUCUGGCUAUCAGUUCAUUGCGACCUGUAGAGAGAAGA